This 253-nucleotide ribosomal RNA is filed under the name uncultured bacterium. Its description in RNAcentral is "partial 16S ribosomal RNA". It matches the Rfam family "Bacterial small subunit ribosomal RNA", at positions 524 to 776 of the family's 1533-position model. The record is from RNAcentral.
UACGAAGAGUGCAAACGUUGCUCGGAAUCAUUGGGCGUAAAGCGCACGUAGGCGGCUUUGCAAGUCUGACGUGAAAUCCCUCAGCUCAACUGAGGAAGUGCAUCGGAAACUGCAAGGCUUGAGUACUGAAGAGGAUCGCGGAAUUCCCGGUGUAGAGGUGAAAUUCGUAGAUAUCGGGAGGAACACCAGUGGCGAAGGCGGCGAUCUGGGCAGAUACUGACGCUGAGGUGCGAAAGCGUGGGGAGCAAACAGG